RNAcentral lists this long non-coding RNA (235 nucleotides) under Nicotiana benthamiana. RNAcentral's name for it is "long non-coding RNA (NBEN_LNC000991)". The record is from RNAcentral. Lineage: Eukaryota; Viridiplantae; Streptophyta; Magnoliopsida; Solanales; Solanaceae.
GCAUUUGGAUAUAAUAUAUUCUAAUAAUUAUUAUGGUUAAAAGUCUAAGUGGGAGAUUGUUGAGAUACAUACUAUUAACCAUGGGUUUAGUUUAGAUAUAGUAUUUAUUAUAAAAUAAUUGUUUAUUCAGUUUUAAUAAAGUUCUAAAUAGAUCAUAUAAUAGUCUGUGUUCUUUGCUUAUAUAGUAGAUGAUUUAGUGUAUGGAGUUUAGCUUAUACACGGAAGAUUAAAUCAU